GGUUAAUCUGCAAUUCAGAUUAAUACCAACAGUCUGGGUUUAAUUUUUUCACUGUCGAAGCAACACCGGUCCAACAGCUGAGGCAAGGGAGUCAGCAGGAAGUUUCCGUGUGAAAGUUUGAUUUGACAACAUGAGGCGAAGGGAGGUACUGAAAAACAAUGAAAGCAUUCUCACGUCCACAAAGAAUCUCGCUUGCUGAAUUAUGAGCACAACUUCCAACGGCAAUGUACUCUCCUGUGGAACAGUUUAAGCAGGCACUCAGGUCAAGGUAGGCAUAAAACGCUGGCCUGAUGAGGGCGACACAGGUCGACUCACAUCCCGUGAG
Molecule: non-coding RNA, 325 nt
Organism: Chiloscyllium plagiosum (whitespotted bambooshark)
Lineage: Eukaryota; Metazoa; Chordata; Chondrichthyes; Orectolobiformes; Hemiscylliidae
Source: RefSeq, a predicted model, not a curated record